Molecule: ribosomal RNA, 254 nt
Filed under: uncultured bacterium
Lineage: Bacteria
Description: partial 16S ribosomal RNA
Rfam family: Bacterial small subunit ribosomal RNA
Source: RNAcentral
GACGAACCGUGCGAACGUUAUUCGGAAUCACUGGGCUUAAAGCGCGUGUAGGCGGGAGGGCACGUCCGUUGCUGAAAUCCCCCGGCUCAACCGGGGAACGGGCGCGGAUACGACUCUCCUUGAGGGGCGUAGGGGGACCUGGAACUUCCGGUGGAGCGGUGAAAUGCGUUGAGAUCGGAAGGAACGCCCGUGGCGAAAGCGGGGUCCUGGACGCCUACUGACGCUGAGACGCGAAAGCCAGGGGAGCGAACGGG